CUUGCGAGGGAUUCCGGCGCGGCUGGGAGUCAAUCUGAGGCGAGGCUUGCAAGUGAUCCGGCGCCGGAGGGGAUCGACUGGAGGCGAGGCAUCCAGCCUCGAUCCGAGGCGACGUGUGCGAGGAUCCGGUGAUCGACAGGAUCUCGCCCGUAGCAGAUGGGCGACCUUUCCUCUUUGCCUUCACCGUUGCUGGUUCGCCUCUGCCUCCGACCUCGGCGCGUCCCCUCCUCCCGCUCGCCUCCCCUCCCCCAGGAACGAGGAGGAGCAGCCGGUGCCCCCGCCCUCGAGCUCGCCGACGGCGCUGUUCUCCGGCAUAAGCUUGCUGAUAUUGCUCCUCCUCUCCUCUGUCCGCGGCUUCCCCGAGCAGUAAGCAUAGACCUAAUUCAACAGGUCGCUUGGUGAACGGAGAGGGGCUGCAGGGGGGUGAUCCAGGCAAUUUCAAAUCUUGGGAGCUCAAGCGGCAUGCAUGUUAUCUCCCUGUUGGCCGUGCAUAACCAAGUUUUUUCUAAAUGGACGUGAUGCUCCAUCAGCUUCCACAUACGACAUUUGGAAAAGUUGUUAAUGGUGGAAAAAAUGACGUGGGCAAUUAUUAAGACACAAUUGAGAUGCAAAAUCAUACUGAUGCUCCUCAGAGAAGACGAAUUCACUGUUACAGAAGGAAGUGAGCCCCCUUAGAUUUCCUAUAUUCUUGAACACGCAAUCUGCAAAAUCAUCUGCACGUUUUGUCUUUUCUUUUUUGCACAAGGUAUUUGGUCUUAGUUUAUUAUGUAGAUUCCACAAGUUAAUGUUCUUUGUGAUUGGACGCGUACCUACAUACGGUUAUUUAGUUUCAGAGAUAAAUUGCAUCUUGCUCAGAAUCUUUUAUUGCAGAUGAACACCAAAAUAAAUUUGCCAUUUUAAAGGAUGGAGUUCGAGCAAUUUUUUUACCAAUCUGGGCAUUUUUUUCUUCAGAAUUUUACUACAAACCUUGCUUUAUUUGUACAAAUGGCGAGCACACUGACAUCGAUUGGUACGUUUGGGGAUGGUUUUGUAGGUCACAAUCCUUAAUGUGAUAUUGUCUUUUGAAAUUGUUACCUUGCCUAAAUUUGUCUUUUGUCAUCCAUUAGUUGGCAUACUGUACUAUGUCUUCCUACCACUUUGUUCUAUAGAAUUAUAGAACCCAACUUUUCAAGCCUUUGACUUGUUUUCACUCUGCAAUUCAUCGAUUAUGUUCACUCUGCAGUUUAGGGUGUACUUUUGACAAAAUAUUGACAUUUUCUAUUCGGCUCUUUAUUCAACCAUCCUUAUAUUGUGAUGUCGUGCUAUAUAGAGUUACCUGAUAUAAAGUUUUUCAAUGUGUAUACCCUUGCUAGAAACAAGUUUGUUCUUUUAAGGGUUAUUAGGCUAUCAAUUAUUAUGAUUUACAUUCUACAUUUCUUUAGUAUAUGAUAUUCAUCCAUGUGAUUCUUUAUGCCAAUUUUGAGGCUGCCAGGCUAGAUAUCGAAAAAAAAUAGUUGUUCUUGGGAGUGACAAGAUGCCCUGUUUAGUAGUUGGACUUCGGCCAUGAUAUUGUCUUCUCGAUUGCUAACAAAGGAGCACAAUACAAGUUGAUGGAGAAAAAUACUAUUUGCACAACUGAUAAUGUAUCGAAGUGGUAGACCUAGAUGAUAAAUCUCCAUAUGCGGCGAUGUUCGUAGAUAUUAAAAAGGAAAUUUUGCUAGCUGGAGGAAAUUCUUCUAAUUGAAUAUGAUAUAUACAUAGUUUAGUUGCUAUAAUUUUGUGCUGCUUGUUCCAUCUUGGAAGGCAAAUUGCCCAAUUGCAGGCUCAUUAAGUUGUAGCCUGACUAACCCUGCAUUGGCUCUCCAUGUUGUUUGGCACAAAUGAUUGUGAAACAUCACCAUGGUCGUGAAAAGUUGAACUGGUGAUCUCAAGAGAGAAAUUCAAUGUAGCUAAAUUACAGAUUUUUCUAUUGCCUAUUAGCCUCAUCCUACAGGAAAAGCUGAA
Triticum dicoccoides is the source of this 1983-nucleotide long non-coding RNA. RefSeq lists it as uncharacterized. The transcript is spliced from 5 exons. The record is from RefSeq and is a predicted model, not a curated record. NCBI's taxonomy places the organism in Eukaryota, Viridiplantae, Streptophyta, Magnoliopsida, Poales, Poaceae.